Cheilinus undulatus (humphead wrasse) is the source of this 544-nucleotide long non-coding RNA. RefSeq lists it as uncharacterized. The transcript has 3 exons. The record is from RefSeq and is a predicted model, not a curated record. Lineage: Eukaryota; Metazoa; Chordata; Actinopteri; Labriformes; Labridae.
UUGACGGUGAGGGAGGGUGUGUUUCUGCUCUCCUUUAAGUAAAAGUCUACUCUAUAAAAAGAUAAGAUUGGAACCAAGAGCUGACUCUGAAAGCAAAGGAUCUGAUCCUUCUGUCCUCUGGCUUUUUGUCCAACAAACACCUGAGCAACAUGGGACGAGGUCAGAGCGAGGAGUGGGAUGAAAAGCACCCCGACACGAUACAGGCUCAGCCUCAGAGAUACCCGGAAACGAGGAGUGAGAAAAAGGAGAGCAAGUGUCCCAAAUGCUGCUUGAAAUGCAGGGACUGUCUGAUGAGCCCGGAGUGUGGACGGGCACUUCAGAUCUCCAGCGUCAUUGCUUGGUGUGGGAUGUGCAUCCGCAUGUUUGUGUAACCCAGCUUUGGAUCCCUGGACCUGCUUAUCACCAGCUUUGCUGAUUUUCUGCACCCUUCAUGCUCCAUGAAGCAUGAUUUUCUUCACUUCUGCACCUAAGAUUCUCUUUUAGUCUUUUUUCCAAGCUUAUUUAUUUAAAUUUAAUCCAUAGACAGUCUUUGUCUUGUACAUAC